This 733-nucleotide ribosomal RNA is filed under the name uncultured Chloroflexota bacterium. RNAcentral describes it as "bacterial SSU rRNA". It matches the Rfam family "Bacterial small subunit ribosomal RNA", at positions 61 to 789 of the family's 1533-position model. The record is from RNAcentral. Lineage: Bacteria; Bacillati; Chloroflexota.
GUCGGACGGGGGGUGAGGCUUCGGCCCCAUCUCGAGUGGCGGACGGGUGCGUAACACGUGGAUGACCUACCGCGCGAUGGGGGAUACCCCUCAGAAAUGGGGGCUAAGACCGCAUGCGCUCCUCUUGGGCGACCGGGGGGAGGAAAGCUUGUGCUUUGGGCAACCGGGCAGGAGCGUCGGGCGAGGGGUCCGCGGCCGAUUAGCUAGUUGGCGGGGUAACGGCCCACCAAGGCGACGAUCGGUAGCUGGUCUGAGAGGAUGAUCAGCCACACUGGGAUUGAGAACGGCCCAGACUCCUACGGGGGGCAGCAGUGAGGAAUCUUCGGCAAUGGGCGCAAGCCUGACCGAGCAACGCCGCGUGGAGGACGACGGCCUUCGGGUUGUAAACUCCUUUUCUGGGGAACGAGAUAUCUGGACGGUACCCCAGGAAGAAGCCUCGGCUAACUACGUGCCAGCAGCCGCGGUAAUACGUAGGAGGCGAGCGUUGUCCGGAGUUACUGGGCGUAAAGGGUGCGCAGGCGGCUUCGCGCGUGUGCGGUGAAAUCUCCCGGCUCAACUGGGAGGGGGCCGUGCAGACGGCGGAGCUUGAGGCUCGGCGGGGGGCGUGGAAUUCCGGGUGGAGCGGUGAAAUGCGUAGAGAUCCGGAGGAACACCGACGGCGAAGGCAGCGCCCUGGACGAGACCUGACGCUCAGGCACGAAAGCUGGGGGAGCGAACAGGAUUAGAUACCCUG